UACGAGUUGUGCAAACGUUAUUCGGAAUCACUGGGCUUAAAGGGUGCGUAGGCGGGCGCGCAGGUCAGGUGUGAAAUCCCACGGCUCAACCGUGGAAUUGCGCUUGAAACCGCGUGUCUUGAGGGGGUCAGAGGAGAGCGGAACUGAUGGUGGAGCGGUGAAAUGCGUUGAUAUUAUCAGGAACACCGGUGGCGAAAGCGGCUCUCUGGGACCUUUCUGACGCUGAGGCACGAAAGCUAGGGGAGCGAACGGG
This 253-nucleotide ribosomal RNA is filed under the name uncultured bacterium. RNAcentral describes it as "partial 16S ribosomal RNA". It matches the Rfam family "Bacterial small subunit ribosomal RNA", at positions 524 to 776 of the family's 1533-position model. The record is from RNAcentral.